Molecule: long non-coding RNA, 405 nt
Organism: Bufo gargarizans (Asiatic toad)
Lineage: Eukaryota; Metazoa; Chordata; Amphibia; Anura; Bufonidae
Exons: 3
Source: RefSeq, a predicted model, not a curated record
GCAGACUAAGCUGUUUAGUAUCUGCAUGUAUUAACCUGUCACCUACAUUACGUGGCCUUCUGUAUGACAUAAGGGGAGUGGCAUGGAAUGCUUCAAUGUCAGGAAAUGACUCUGUCUAUAUACGUGUUCACCGCAUCCUUAAUAACAGGAGGUUGGAAGUCACUACGUUGAAUACUAUCGUCCACAGAGGGCAUGAUCCGGCCAGUUUGUUGUUUACGGUCCGAGCGAUUCAUUGGUUUCUUCAUCUCCAUUGAAGUUCUACCAGUUUUCGUGAUCCAGCGCUGUUCGUUCCGUUGUGCGUUGGAGGAGGUUCCGGUUCUGUUUUUUGUCUAGUUGGUGUCAGGACGUCAAAGAAAGAGGAAGAUCCUAUCUGGAGGGGUCCCGUUAUACUUGGGCUACGGGUGG